Molecule: ribosomal RNA, 468 nt
Filed under: uncultured bacterium
Lineage: Bacteria
Description: partial 16S ribosomal RNA
Rfam family: Bacterial small subunit ribosomal RNA
Source: RNAcentral
GACGAACGCUGGCGGCGUGCUUAACACAUGCAAGUCGAACGGAAAGGCCCUGCUUUUGUGGGGUGCUCGAGUGGCGAACGGGCGAGUAACACGUGAGUAACCUGCCCUUGACUUUGGGAUAACUUCAGGAAACUGGGGCUAAUACCGGAUAGGAGCUCCUGCUGCAUGAUGGGGGUUGGAAAGUUUCGGCGGUUGGGGAUGGACUCGCGGCUUAUCAGCUUGUUGGUGGGGUAGUGGCUUACCAAGGCUUUGACGGGUAGCCGGCCUGAGAGGGUGACCGGCCACAUUGGGACUGAGAUACGGCCCAGACUCCUACGGGAGGCAGCAGUGGGGAAUAUUGCACAAUGGGCGGAAGCCUGAUGCAGCAACGCCGCGUGCGGGAUGACGGCCUUCGGGUUGUAAACCGCUUUCGCCUGUGACGAAGCGUGAGUGACGGUAAUGGGUAAAGAAGCACCGGCUAACUACGUG